Molecule: ribosomal RNA, 519 nt
Filed under: uncultured eukaryote
Lineage: Eukaryota
Description: partial 18S ribosomal RNA
Rfam family: Eukaryotic small subunit ribosomal RNA
Source: RNAcentral
AGGGCACCACCAGGAGUGGAGCCUGCGGCUUAAUUUGACUCAACACGGGAAAACUCCCCCGGCCCGGAAACUGGAAGGAUUGAAAAAUUGAAAGUUCUUUCUUGAUUCAGGGGGGGGGGGUGCAUGGCCCUUCUUAUUGGGGGGAGCAUAUUGGUUGGUUAUCACAAUACCACCAGCCAUUUAACCAAUUAAAUUGUUGGUUUGUAAAAACCACCCACGAAAAAUCUUGAAGGGAGGGGUCGAUUCCUCCGCACGAAAAAAAAAAAAAAAAGGGCUGUGAAGGCCCUAAAAGGCCCGGGGCGCACCCCCCCUUACUAGAAUGGUCAACGUGCAUUCUCUACCUUUCUGCCAAGAGUAGUAAACCCCAGAACCUCCUUUGUAGAGGGAUGGAGAUAUUGAUUCUUAUCCCUGAGAAUGAAAUUUCAGAAGCGCGCUCAUAUCUUUCUUCAUUAAGUCCCCAUGCUUGUACCACCACCCACGCUACUACUAAUGUAUAAUUAAUUCAACGUCCUCCCCAGC